UUUCAAUGGAACACCCACAAUCACACUCAUCCCAUCAGGAGUAGGCUUCUCUGUGCAGGAUGUGCCGCUGAUUGGCUAACAGGGCAACCCAAGAUGUAUUUGGCUUACUGCUCUGAACCAUCUCUGGGCUCAUUAAAAUGUAAAAGUCAGGGGAAACGUCCUAUUUUUAAACACACCUACGGGCCCAGGAGAAACUGCGUCCAUCGGGAGCUGCAGAAUGACAUCCUGUCUCCACCAGCAUCUCCUGGAAGAGAACAUGGAGGUGGACCGUCUCUGAGUGAAUGGCAGGGUAUUUCAACAGAUGAGAGGCCCUCAGUAUUUGAAUUCUCAUUUCUCUGGGCUUGUUAAUAUGCUGGGUUUUUGGGCGUGGUGUGUCACAUGACCUACUGUAAUAUGGAACCCUUGAGAGCACAAAAGCUAUCCUGCAGUGCAAUGACUGCACAGCUCAGCUGGUGGACUGCAGAGAGAAGAGAAGCGAUAACUGGCAGGGCUGGCUAAGAAGGAGGAAGCAUGCGUGUUCUCCUAAGCUAGAUGGGGAACAUGCAGCAAUGACACAGGCCAGUGAACACAAUCAAUCAUUCAGAAGAGGGAGGAAAAAUAAAAAAUAGCCGUUAAAUUGAAAAGUUAAA
Molecule: long non-coding RNA, 629 nt
Organism: Anguilla rostrata (American eel)
Lineage: Eukaryota; Metazoa; Chordata; Actinopteri; Anguilliformes; Anguillidae
Exons: 2
Source: RefSeq, a predicted model, not a curated record